Molecule: long non-coding RNA, 1096 nt
Filed under: Volvox carteri
Lineage: Eukaryota; Viridiplantae; Chlorophyta; Chlorophyceae; Chlamydomonadales; Volvocaceae
Description: long non-coding RNA (VCAR_LNC002188)
Source: RNAcentral
UCGGUUGUAUUUCUUAGUCACAUCAAUGCCGGAAAGGAGAUAAUAUACCUAAUCGCCGUAAGUUCGCUUCGUUAGCCAUUUCGAUGACGAAGCGAGAUGACAUACUCAUUUCAACGGCGUUAACGGUAAUUUUAUUCCGUUCCUUGUGAAAAUCUUACGACGUUGUAAAAGCGUGUUGAAGCUACCUUUUUUAUUUUGUAAUUAUGCUCGGGCCCACAUUCUAUGAGGGCCCGAGCGUCUCUCACUUUUCUUAACUCAUGCGCAUUUACCCGACCCAAACUUUUCACCGGAUAUCGCAAGCCCCACUGCCUUCACCCUGAACGUAUUCAAGCGGCAACGUCUUCACUCUUGCUUAUGCUAUUGUUGGAGCUCCAGCAAGACAGGCGACUGCCCGUUGCUGUUUGUGAUUGCGCAUGUGCUACAGAAUCCGUGCCUGUAGCUAUCUUCAAAUGCCUUCGUUUGCCUUGCCGACCGCGAGCAAAAGGGGGCCGCUGAAAAGUAAAAGAAAAAGUGAAACGGGGUUCGUGGGGGCCCCAAAACACUGACAUGCUGACAGGGGGUUGGGGUGUAUUACACUUGCAACCAGUUAGACGUCGGAGCCACUUCAGGCACCCCCAGAUCUUGAGCGGCAUACGUGUCAUGUUCGGAUUUACGUAUGCCGCACUAUGCAUGCUCGAACUCUGCAUGAGGGCCGAUGAUGCGACGGCCUCUGUGAAGCUGUGUGGACCAAAUGCCCGAUUCGCUCCGGAGCUGUAGAUGGACAAAGGGCGAAGGGCUGUGACGCUGAUUUCCUGAUGAGUUGUGUGCUGCUGGCCCCCUGACCUGACGAGUUUACCUUGCAAGGCUGAUGGAAGGGUGCUAGGGGUUAUUCGUUGGGUUCGACGUUGUUACUAAUCUGCGCCUCAGUGUUCCCGUAUGAAGUUGAUAAGUUGCAGUGCGUUUCGACGGCAGCCGGGGAAGCAGUGAAUCAGUUGAUAUUGGUCUAUGUGUGUUAGGAGCCUUCGCUUUGGGCGGAUGAUGGGAUGAGGAUGCUUCACGAUCGGUGCGGCAACAGGGGACCGGGCGUGGAGCGGACAAGGGACGUGGCGGUCCCCCG